RNAcentral lists this ribosomal RNA (479 nucleotides) under uncultured bacterium. RNAcentral describes it as "bacterial SSU rRNA". It matches the Rfam family "Bacterial small subunit ribosomal RNA", at positions 28 to 467 of the family's 1533-position model. The record is from RNAcentral.
GAUGAACGCUGGCGGCGUGCCUAAUACAUGCAAGUCGAACGCAUUGUGGUUGAAAUGAUAUGAAGAACUUGUUCAGAUUUGAUUUUCAACAUUGCAAUGAGUGGCGAACGGGUGAGUAACACGUGGGAAACCUACCUCUUAGCAGGGGAUAACAUUUGGAAACAAAUGCUAAUGCCGUAUAAUAAUUAAAACCGCAUGGUUUUAGUUUAAAAGAUGGUCUUGCUAUCACUAAGAGAUGGUCCCGCGGUGUAUCAGUUAGUUGGUGAGGUAAUGGCUCACCAAGACAAUGAUACAUAGCCGAGUUGAGAGACUGACCGGCCACAAUGGGACUGAGACACGGCCCAUACUCCUACGGGAGGCAGCAGUAGGGAAUCUUCCACAAUGGACGAAAGUCUGAUGGAGCAACGCCGCGUGUGUGAUGAAGGGUUUCGGCGUCGUAAACGACUGUUGUAAGAGAAGAAUGACAUUGAGAGUAACUG